Non-coding RNA from Castor canadensis (American beaver), 573 nucleotides. Lineage: Eukaryota; Metazoa; Chordata; Mammalia; Rodentia; Castoridae. The record is from RefSeq and is a predicted model, not a curated record.
AUGUUCCAGGGUGCGGAGGGCGAGGCUGGCCGAGGGGGUUCCAGGUCCGUGAAACCCCCAGGAGGAGAAUCGAGCAAUAUUUUUGGAAGUCCAGAAGAAGCUGUUCCUUCAAACCGACCUAAUAGGAUGGCAUCUAAUAUUUUUGGGCCAAAUGAAGAACCUCAGAAUAUACCCAAGAGGACAAACCCCCCAGGGGGGAAAGGAAGUGGUAUCUUUGACGAAUCAAUUCCUGUGCAAACCUGACAACGUAUGAACCCACCUGGUGGGAAGACCAGUGAUAUUUUUGGGUCCCCGGUCACUGCCACUUCACCCUUGGCACACCCAAACAAACCCAAGGAUCACAUUUUGCUGUGUGAAGGAGAAUCACCGAAAUCUAACGUUAAAGCUGUAACAAGUGCCUCGCCCCAAGAAGAACCCAGUGAGAAGGGCAGCUCCAGAGAAAAAGACCAUGCCAAGGCACCUGAGCCUACACCCACAGUCGAUAGCCAUGAGCCCAGGCUGGGCCCACGGCCUUGCUCCCACAAUAAGGUCCUGAAUCCACCAGGAGGCAAAUCCAGCAUCUCCUUUUACUGA